Molecule: ribosomal RNA, 253 nt
Filed under: uncultured bacterium
Lineage: Bacteria
Description: partial 16S ribosomal RNA
Rfam family: Bacterial small subunit ribosomal RNA
Source: RNAcentral
UACGGAGGGUGCGAGCGUUAAUCGGAAUUACUGGGCGUAAAGGGUGCGUAGGUGGUUUGAUAAGUCAUAUGUAGAAGCCCUGGGCUCAACCUGGGAAUGUCGUGUGAAACUGUUGGACUAGAGUACGGGAGAGGGCAGUGGAAUUUCCGGUGUAGCGGUGAAAUGCGUAGAUAUCGGAAGGAACACCGGUGGCGAAGGCGGCUGCCUGGCCUGCUACUGACACUGAGGCACGAAAGCGUGGGGAGCAAACAGG